UUAAAUACUAUGAUAGGGAAAGUACUCGCUGCAAGGUCGCUCAGCGAGCUGGGAUGAGGUGUGAGCCCGGCGUGGACGGCAGCGAGAAAAAUCACCCUUGAGUUCGGGUGUGAACGGUUCCGGAUUGAAUCCGGGCUAGUAAUACCUGACGUUGAUUCGCGUUAAGAAGACAUUGAGUGGCAGAUUUUUUUGCUAUUAGGGUGGUACCGCGGUCCUUCCGUCCCUUUG
Molecule: non-coding RNA, 228 nt
Filed under: Sporolactobacillus laevolacticus
Lineage: Bacteria; Bacillati; Bacillota; Bacilli; Caryophanales; Sporolactobacillaceae
Description: T-box sequence
Rfam family: T-box leader
About the family: Uncharged tRNA acts as the effector for transcription antitermination of genes in the T-box leader family. T-boxes are found upstream of many aminoacyl-tRNA synthetase genes and some amino acid biosynthetic genes usually in Gram-positive bacteria. The anticodon of a specific tRNA base pairs to a specifier sequence within the T-box motif, and the NCCA acceptor tail of the tRNA base pairs to a conserved bulge in the T-box antiterminator hairpin.
Source: RNAcentral